Molecule: long non-coding RNA, 418 nt
Filed under: Nicotiana benthamiana
Lineage: Eukaryota; Viridiplantae; Streptophyta; Magnoliopsida; Solanales; Solanaceae
Description: long non-coding RNA (NBEN_LNC008051)
Source: RNAcentral
GUAGUUCUAAUGCAGUGGCAACCUCCGAAGCCACGUCGUCUGAAGCUAGUUAAGGUUAGGAAGUUGAGGAUGUUCAGAAGCACGACGACAAGGCUCUCAGGUAAAAGAAAAAAACGUUUCAUUGUCUACGAGAAAUCAGCACCCAAAUAUAUGAAGUUCGGCAGAAUCUGCAAAAGAAAGAAAAUUAGAUGAGCAUAAAUAAAAUUAGAUAAUAUCUUAAAAGUAACUUCUUUUGAUAGUCGAAUCACAUUAAAAAUAAUAUCUCAUAUUCGAAUUGGAGUUAAGUAUUUAUGACUCCUCUGAUUAAACAAGAACAUAUAAGACUAUUCUUGGCUACAAAUAAAAAGAACAAGCAAAGAAAACGAUAAAAAGAAAUAACCUCAAGUACUAGCAUUUUGUCGUCCUCUAAACACGAAUU